Molecule: ribosomal RNA, 426 nt
Filed under: uncultured prokaryote
Description: bacterial SSU rRNA
Rfam family: Bacterial small subunit ribosomal RNA
Source: RNAcentral
UGGGGACUUUUCCGCAAUGGGGGCAACCCUGACGGAGCAACGCCGCGUGGGGGAGGAAUGUCUGUGGAUUGUAAACCCCUUUUCUCAGGGAAGAAGUUCUGACGGUACCUGAGGAAUCAGCAUCGGCUAACUCCGUGCCAGCAGCCGCGGUAAGACGGAGGAUGCAAGCGUUAUCCGGAAUUAUUGGGCGUAAGGCGUCCGUAGGCGGUUUUUGAAGUCUGCCGUUAAAGACCACAGCUUAACUGUGGGCCGGCGGUGGUAACUGUUGAACUGGAGUACGGUAGGGGUAGAGGGAAUUCCCAGUGUAGCGGUGAAAUGCGUAGAGAUUGGGAAGAAAAACAGUGGCGAAGGCGCUCUACUGGGCCGUAACUGACGCUGAGGGACGAAAGCUAGGGGAGCGAAAGGGAUUAGAUACCCGCGUAGUCC